This 355-nucleotide ribosomal RNA is filed under the name Phoberus consimilis. Its description in RNAcentral is "partial 16S ribosomal RNA". Lineage: Eukaryota; Metazoa; Arthropoda; Insecta; Coleoptera; Trogidae. The record is from RNAcentral.
UAAUUUAAAGUCUAGCCUGCCCAAUGAUUAUAAAUUGAAUGGCCGCGGUAUUUUGACCGUGCUAAGGUAGCAUAAUAAUUAGUUUUUUAAUUGAGAACUGGUAUGAAUGGUUGGACAAAGAAAAUUCUGUCUCAAGUUUAAUUUAAUUAGAAUUUUAUUUUUAAGUAAAAAAGCUUAAAUAAUUUUAAAAGACGAGAAGACCCUAUAGAGUUUUAUAUUAUUUAUUAUAAAUAAUUUAAAGUAUUAUAUAUUUUAUAUAAUAAAUAGUAUUUUGUUGGGGUGACAAAAAAAUUUAAUUAACUUUUUUUAUUUUAGAUCAUUAAUUUAUGAUAAAGUGAUCCAUUUUUUAUGAUUA